This is a non-coding RNA of Myotis lucifugus (little brown bat), 438 nucleotides long. Lineage: Eukaryota; Metazoa; Chordata; Mammalia; Chiroptera; Vespertilionidae. The record is from the annotation of a RefSeq genome assembly.
AUGGCCUGGACUCCUCUGCUCCUCGCGCUCCUCUCUCACUGCACAGGGUCCCUCUCCCAGCCUGUGCUGACUCAGCCUCCCUCCCUCUCUGCAUCUCUGGGAGCCACAGCCAGAGUCACCUGCACCCUGAGCAGUGGCUUCAAUGUUGGUAUAUACAGGAUAACCUGGCACCAGCAGAAGCCAGGGAGCCCUCCCCGGUACCUCCUGAACUACUACUCAGACUCAGAUAAGGGCCAAGGAUCCGGGGUGCCCAGCCGCUUCUCUGGAUCCAAAGACACCUCGGCCAAUGCGGGGCUCCUGCUCAUCUCGGGGCUGCAGCCUGAGGACGAGGCUGACUAUUACUGCGCUUCAUAUCAUAGCAAUGGUCACAGUGAUUCAGAUGAUGAGGAAGUGAGACCAAAACCCCUGGGACCAGAAGUGAUGACUGUCUGUUCUUAG